AUCCAUCUAUAAGUUUCGAUCUAUGUUGUCAUGACAUUGAUUUUUGCCUUCACCCUGGCAACACCAAAAUCAACCAUUUUAAUGACCUUAAAAGAGACAUUAGGUAAAAUUUUAUGUUAUAUUGAUCUUGACUAGGCUAAUAAAAGAUGUAACAUGAAUGAAAUAUGUUUGCGUACGCAAUUAGAAAAUACAAAGCCUUUAAAAAAGGUAUACUGGAUAAUUUAACACUUAGUCAAUCAUCACUGAGUGAUUCUCUUAGUUGAAAAAAUUACUGCAUGAUACCACAUAUAAUAGUUGUACCUUUGUAAUGCAAAGGUCUCUUAGCAUAUCAAUAUAUAUUCCCACCUCGCUCUUCUGGCCUUCUCACCAUUAAAAUAGAGAAUGAUCAUCUGAAAUCACAGUACUAAAUCACAUCAACUCCGAUAUAAUAGAGAUUUUCUGCAUUCAUAAACAUAGUCAAGAUUUCAUACAUUAAAGAAUACGAACUUAAAAAAAUAUAUAAAUCUUUCCUGAAAAGAAAAAAACGAACAACAAUUCGAGUGCUUUCUAUAUAAAACAAACACGAGAAAUAAUUCUCUCUAUAUAUAUAUAAUAUACAUAGAUAUAUAACAAAUUAUAAACAUAUACUUGGUCAGUAACAGGGUAAGAAUUAGAGAAUGAUCUGGCAACACUUCUGCCGUAUUCAUUAACGUUAUUUCUAUCAAAAAUUGAGCUAAAAUAACUUAAAACGAAUUAAAAAGAGAUGAAUAUUUAGAAAACACAAACAUAAGUAAACCACUAAAAAUUUAAAAAUUCAAUUUUCUGAACAAUGAUAAAAAUAAGUUGUGAGAAAAUAUUUAGUGUACGUGCGUUGUACGUGUGCAUUACGUUAAUAAAUGAAGUAUAUAAAGAAAAAUGUAUCUAUAUUAUUGUUUAAUGGGUUAAACUCUUUCUGAUUAAGAACUACUUGGUACAUUAGACUUAUACCUGUCAAGGAGGAUUCUAUUCUUUCGUUUGUAAAUAGUAUUUCUAGAAUUCUGUUGCAUCCUUCUUCAAUAAGUGAUUUCACAACUUGACUAACAUGCAUAUUACGUUUGAUUAGUAUGAGAUCCGAGUUAAUGCUAAGUAUCACGUAAAUUGUAAAAAAAGAAAAUUUAAAAUAACACAUGUAAUUAGCAAAACAUAUAUUAACAUCCUUUUAUUAAUCCACUUUGCAGUACAUUAAAUUAAAAAAAAAAAAAACUUGUUUUUCGAUAGCUAAUGAAAUUCCAAGCAACAUUAUGUAGGAACAUUAAGUUGGUCCAUACACCACAAUUAUCCAAAAAAAAAAAAAAAGAGAUGGCUAAUUUACAAAGCAAAGAGCUACGAUACCCAUAAGAAACCUAUCAGCAUUACUACUGAAAGGAAAUCCAUGCCCGAAUCAACUAAAGGAAUGCUAG
RNAcentral lists this long non-coding RNA (1418 nucleotides) under Capsicum annuum. Its description in RNAcentral is "long non-coding RNA (CANN_LNC020525)". The record is from RNAcentral. Lineage: Eukaryota; Viridiplantae; Streptophyta; Magnoliopsida; Solanales; Solanaceae.